CCUACGGGAGGCAGCAGUGGGGAAUAUUGCACAAUGGGGGAAACCCUGAUGCAGCGACGCCGCGUGAGUGAAGAAGUAAUUCGUUAUGUAAAGCUCUAUCAGCAGGGAAGAAAAUGACGGUACCUGAGUAAGAAGCCCCGGCUAACUAAGUGCCAGCAGCCGUGGUAAUACGUAGGGGGCAAGCGUUAUCCGGAUUUACUGGGUGUAAAGGGAGCGUAGACGGCAGUGCAAGUCUGGAGUGAAAGGCGGGGGCUCAACCCCCGGACUGCUCUGGAAACUGUACGGCUGGAGUGCAGGAGAGGUAAGUGGAAUUCCUAGUGUAGCGGUGAAAUGCGUAGAUAUUAGGAGGAACACCAGUGGCGAAGGCGGCUUACUGGACUGUAACUGACGUUGAGGCUCGAAAGCGUGGGGAGCGAACAGGAUUAGAUACCCUUGUAGUC
Molecule: ribosomal RNA, 440 nt
Filed under: uncultured bacterium
Lineage: Bacteria
Description: partial 16S ribosomal RNA
Rfam family: Bacterial small subunit ribosomal RNA
Source: RNAcentral